AAUCACACUCCAACAUCACCAUCUCCAUGAAGCCUUCUAGACUCCCCUGACACGCAACUGUUCACUCCUCUGCACCUCCAAACUGAUUUUUUUUAACUUCUUCAUAAAACUGGCCACAUCAUCAAAGUCACAAGAUGAUGAACCCUCUGUUUAUGGAAUAAUAAGAUCUCAAUGCCUGUGUUAUUGUCUGUAAGGUUCUUGAGGGCAAAAGAAGGAAAAAAGAGGAAAUGAGAAUGUUGGUGAUGAUGGGGAACAAGGGGGACUAUUGGGGAAGCAGAAUCACAAUCACAGAAUUCUGGAGCUGGAUGGGGCCCUGAGAUGAGCAAGUCAAAAAAUAAAAAUCAAAACAAAAUCAACCUAAGUAAUCUGAAAAAUAUGAAUCUGAAGUGUCUUCAGUGAUCUUUUUAACUAGACAAACUCUUUGGAAGAUGAAAAUCAAUAUCAAGAGGAACUGUAAAGCUUUCAAAAUGUAUUGGAAAAGUUUCAAAGGAGAUGAAAAGCAUAAAUUGUUUUGUAAACCUGAAGAAAAUUCUAACUUAUUCCUGGAAGCCAGUGUAUAUGAUGCCUGAAAGGCCAAGACUAAGAAAUAUGGAUUUUACACUGAAAAAAUAUAACAGCCUCAUCAACUACAGCUUCAUGGUAUAGAACAAAGGGAGCCUGGAACCAAGAAAUGCUAUAGUAUCAUCUUGGGGAUAUGUGCAUUCUUAAUACCCAUUGUUGCACAAAAGAAGAAAAUUCUCACACAAAACAGACUGAGAGAAGAAGGUUUGGGCCAAAUCCCAGACCAAGGCAACCUCAACAACAGCUGACAAUUCUUGCAAAAAGUUUUCUUCAGGCCAAGAGAGUAACAGGACUCCUUACUGUUUCCCUUAGCAUCUCACCAUUCAAUGCAUUCAAUUAGUCAUUCAGUAACCAUUUUGAGCUCCUAUUACAUGCCCUUCACUUUUCAGGGUACUUGAGAUCAGUGGUAAAGGUCUCUGAUAUCAUGGAACUGACAUUCUACUGGGAGAAAAUUGACAAUAAAAAAGUAAACAAGUAAGUAAAAGAGAAAAUACAUGGGGAUAAAUGCUUUAAAGGAGGUCUACAGAGUGACGUGAUAGAGAGGGAUGGGAAGGGGCUAAGAGGUGAUUCAUAUGAUUGGGAAUCAGGGAAGUUUGGCAAUGGAGCUGAGACCUGAACACAAGAAGGAGGCAGCUAUACCAAAAUCUGAGGGCAGAGCAUUCCGGGCAACGGGAGUUAGCUUAAUGAGUUAGUGAACAGCAAGAAAGUCAGUGUGGCUGGAGGUUAGUUAGGAGGGGAGAAGAUCAGAGAAGUCAGGAGGACCGAACCAUAGGGCCUUGUAGGGAGAGUAAGGAGUUUGAAUCUAUUCUGACUGCAGUGGAAACCACUGAAGAGUUUUAAGAAAAAGAACUGUAUGACCUGAUUUAUGUUUUUUUUAAAGUCCACCUUGCUUGCUGUGUGAAUAAUGGAUUGUAGGGAGAUAAGAGUUGAAAUAGACUAUUGCCAUAGAAUAGGCAAAAAUGAUGACAGCAUGGGUAGGGUGAUAUUGAUGUACAAGUAGAGAAGUGGAUGGAUUUAUAUGUUUUAAAGGUAGACCGGACAGGGUAUGAUGAUGAAUUGGACAAGCAAACUGAACAAAUGAGAAGAAUCAUAUUGAUCUUGGGCUUAGCAACAGGGUAGAUGGUGGAGCCAUUUACUAAGAUGCAGAGGACCAGCAAAACAGUUUGGGGAAGGAUUUAAGAAUUCUGUUUUAUCCACGUUGAGUCUGAAUGCCUAUUAGGCAUCCAAAUGGAAAUUUGAAAGAGGCAGUUGAUGUAUACAAGUUUGGAACUCAAUGGAGAGGCCAGGCCCAAUGCAUAAACUCAGCGGCAUAUAUUUAAGUCCAUGGGACCUGAUGGAAUCUCCUAGGGAGAGAGAGUUAAAGAAGGAUGAGGAUGAAAUCCUGGGACACUGCAACAUGUAAAGGUAAAGCAGAAGUAGGAGCCAGCAAGAGACCAAGAAGGCAUAUCCAGUGAGUUAACAACCAUCCCAAGAAAGCAUGGUGUCACAGAUGUCAAAGAAGAAAGUGUUUUUAUAAAGGAGUAAUCAACUGUCAACUGCUACCAAAAGGAUGGCCAAGAUAAACACAACCACAUGCUCUCCACAUCUGUAUCAUUGCAGCUAUAAUCACUACCAUCAGCAUCAUCAUUAUGACAACCAACAGUUGUCAAGCACUGCCUAUGUGCCAGGCACUACACCAAGAACUUCACUGCACUAUCUAAUUGAAUAUUCACAAUAGCUCUUAUUAGAUAAAAUCUUUUAUCAUCCUUGUUUUAGAUAUUAACAAACUGAGAUAUAGAGAGAUUAGUUUACAUUCUAUGUGCGCUGGAGUUUAAUCAGAACCUAGAAAGUCAGACCUAGGGUUCAGUUCCUAUCCUGUACCCCACAUCAGUGCCAAUCCAAGUGUUGUCUGCAUACCAUACAGGAACUAUUUGUUACUGGAUUGUAAUGAGACAAAUACAGAAAUAAAGAGUAAGCAUUUAGAAACACUUAUAGCGAUUCAACAUUGGCCACAACAUUCAAAAGAGGUGAUGUGAAAGUAUAGGUCCACAAUGGAUUGGAAAAUUAAAAAAAAUUAAUAACAAAUCCUUUACCACAGAUAUCGUGAGAGGCUCUUCUGUACUUUCUUAACAAUCCCUCACAAACUCCCAAAAGAUAAGAGCUUCUUCAAUAACUCUUUCUUGGCCCAAAUAAGACCCCAUAGCUGCUGAUCCAGAAGGACUGUGAGGGGCUAAACUGGUCACUUAUCUCCUGGUCAAUUGUCCUCCAUUUAAUCACCUAUGAUUGCAAACACUUAGGUCACUGUAAUAUGCAGUGUUGGGGACCUGGGGUAAAACAAGGAAAUCUUUGAACAAAAAAGUACUUGUUCUUGUAGAUGCACAAAAGUGGUCCAGAGUGCACUUGUACAGUGAUCUUAAUGACCUGGAUAUUGACAGCCUGAGCUUCAUUCCAGUUUAUUUUCCAGAACUGAUAGAUAUGACCAGUUUCUCAUGUUUGAAAGCAUAGAGGGAGCACAUAGUUAGAAGGGUCAAGGAGGGCAGGGUGUGGCUAUAAAAGGAAGGCAACCACCUGUCCAUCCUCUUAGGAUCUCUGAUCAUUAAUGCCAGAAAGCUUUUUUUGAUUCUUCACGUGACUUUCAGAAGAUCACAAGAACAUGGUAUCUCUUCUAUGUCUUAACUACCACCUGAUUCUUUAUUAUAUUCCAUCUUGUAUAAUAUCUAUUUGAAGAUUUGUCUUUUUCCUGCUUUUAACCUUUAAGUGACUGUGUCUUACUAAUUGUUUUCUUCCCAGUUCCUCACAAAUAAUAGAUGCUCAGUAAAUGAUAAAUUCCCUGAGGUUGGUUUUGGCUUUAUUAGACAAAUACUCCAGUUACAGGUAUAGUUACGGUACCUAAAUAAUAUAAUUGGUUUUUUUUUUGGUGGGUAAAUGGCAAACCUUCAAGAAUUUCUGCACUCUCUGUGCUUUGCAAAAGAAUAGAUUCCCAGCAUCCAUCCAAAGUCUGGCAUAAAGUAGAUGCUCAAUGAAGCCUGUUGAAUGCAUUUGUUCUAGUUUGCUAAUGCUGCCAGAAUGCAAAACACCAGAGAUGGAUUGGCUUUUAUAAAAGGGGGUUUAUUUGGUUCCACAAUUACAGUCUUAAGGCCAUAAAGUGUCCA
Long non-coding RNA from Choloepus didactylus (southern two-toed sloth), 3692 nucleotides. RefSeq lists it as uncharacterized. The record is from RefSeq and is a predicted model, not a curated record. The transcript has 3 exons. NCBI's taxonomy places the organism in Eukaryota, Metazoa, Chordata, Mammalia, Pilosa, Megalonychidae.